This 312-nucleotide ribosomal RNA is filed under the name Staphylococcus haemolyticus. RNAcentral describes it as "partial 23S ribosomal RNA". It matches the Rfam family "Bacterial large subunit ribosomal RNA", at positions 320 to 634 of the family's 2925-position model. Lineage: Bacteria; Bacillati; Bacillota; Bacilli; Caryophanales; Staphylococcaceae. The record is from RNAcentral.
AGGAAUAUAUUAGACGAAUCAUCUGGAAAGUUGAAUCAAAGAAGGUAAUAAUCCUGUAGUUGAAAAUAUAUUCUCUCUUGAGUGGAUCCUGAGUACGACGGAGCACGUGAAAUUCCGUCGGAAUCUGGGAGGACCAUCUCCUAAGGCUAAAUACUCUCUAGUGACCGAUAGUGAACCAGUACCGUGAGGGAAAGGUGAAAAGUACCCCGGAAGGGGAGUGAAAGAGAACUUGAAACCGUGUGCUUACAAGUAGUCAGAGCCCGUUAAUGGGUGAUGGCGUGCCUUUUGUAGAAUGAACCGGCGAGUUACGAU